UGCUAGUUGUGCGGGUUUAGACCCGCAGCGGAAAGCUCAGUAACACGUGGCCAAACUACCCUGUGGAUGGGAACAAUCUCGGGAAACUGAGGCUAAUUCCCAAUAACGCUCCACCCCUGGAACGGGCGGAGCUGGAAACGCUACGGCGCCACAGGAUGUGGCUGCGGUCGAUUAGGUAGACGGUGGGGUAACGGCCCACCGUGCCAAUAAUCGGUACGGGUUGUGAGAGCAAGAGCCCGGAGACGGAAUCUGAGACAAGAUUCCGGGCCCUACGGGGCGCAGCAGGCGCGAAACCUUUACACUGUACGCAAGUGCGAUAAGGGGACUCCGAGUGUGAAGGCAUAGAGCCUUCACUUUUGUACACCGUAAGGUGGUGUACGAAUAAGGGCUGGGCAAGACCGGUGCCAGCCGCCGCGGUAAUACCGGCAGCCCGAGUGAUGGCCGAUAUUAUUGGGCCUAAAGCGUCCGUAGCUGGCCGGACAAGUCCGUUGGGAAAUCUGUUCGCUUAACGAGCAGGCGUCCAGCGGAAACUGUUCGGCUUGGGACCGGAAGACCUGAGGGGUACGUCCGGGGUAGGAGUGAAAUCCUGUAAUCCUGGACGGACCACCGGUGGCGAAAGCGCCUCAGGAGGACGGAUCCGACAGUGAGGGACGAAAGCUAGGGUCUCGAACCGGAUUAGAUACCCGGGUAGUCCUAGCUGUAAACGAUGC
RNAcentral lists this ribosomal RNA (710 nucleotides) under Halobacterium noricense. RNAcentral's name for it is "bacterial SSU rRNA". It matches the Rfam family "Archaeal small subunit ribosomal RNA", at positions 52 to 763 of the family's 1478-position model. Lineage: Archaea; Methanobacteriati; Methanobacteriota; Halobacteria; Halobacteriales; Halobacteriaceae. The record is from RNAcentral.